CUACGGGCGGCAGCAGUGGGGAAUAUUGGACAAUGGGGGAAACCCUGAUCCAGCAAUGCCGCGUGUGUGAAGAAGGCCUGCGGGUUGUAAAGCACUUUCGGUUGGGAGGACUGCUUCUAGCACUAAUAUUGUUGGAAGUUGACGUUACCUUCAGAAGAAGCACCGGCUAACUCCGUGCCGGCAGCCGCGGUAAUACGGAGGGUGCACGCGUUAAUCGGAAUUACUGGGCGUAAAGCGCGCGUAGGCGGCUAGAUCAGUCGGGUGUGAAAGCCCCGGGCUUAACCUGGGAACUGCAUCCGAUACUGUCUAGCUUGAGUACAGGAGAGGAGAGUGGAAUUCCACAUGUAGCGGUGAAAUGCGUAGAUAUGUGGAGGAACACCAAUGGCGAAGGCAGCUCUCUGGCCUGAUACUGACGCUGAGGUGCGAAAGCGUGGGGAGCAAACAGGAUUAGAUACCCUCGUAGUC
RNAcentral lists this ribosomal RNA (465 nucleotides) under uncultured bacterium. Its description in RNAcentral is "partial 16S ribosomal RNA". It matches the Rfam family "Bacterial small subunit ribosomal RNA", at positions 339 to 795 of the family's 1533-position model. The record is from RNAcentral.